UGAAAUUGGAAACCUGGUCCCUGUUAAACGAGGUUCUCAAAAUAAUUUCCCAGGGAAGGUAGAACUCCGGCGAUAAAUCGAAAGCCACAGGUCCGACGUUUGACGACGAUGAACAGCGAUUUCCUUUUGCAUCCCCUUCCCCAUUUCAGUAAGCUUUUUUCUUUGGGUUUUCCAAAUUGUUAAAAUACAUUUGUAAUGUAUUAAUCCUUCAAGGUUUGAACGAACAUGUGUGUUAUUUUGAAGAUUAAAUUUUGAUGUACGUUAUUUUGAAGAACAGAGGACUGUUUCUCCCCCAAAUCACGCCCAAAUUGAAACCCUCACAAACGCAAAACGUUCUCCGGCCUCACCAUCUCCGACCACACUUCAGACGACGGUACCAUCGCCACUCAGACAGCACUUCCAUCGUGGGUUUGGAAUGAAGGUUAUUGUCGCUCUGGGGUCACUUCCGUCCAAAUUUCACCGUCAUCCUAGAUCACCAUCACUGAUCGACGACAAAGGUUAUGCUUUAAAAAUUUCCUGGUUUUGCACAAUUCAAAGUUGUUGUUUUUCGUUUUUUAUUUUAUUUUAUUUUUCACUAAAGCUUGUAUAGCCGAUAUUCGUGCGGUUUAUUUCCUCAUCAUGCUCCUUUUUUGGACUAGACUAAGAUAUUAUUGAAAAUUACUAUCACUUGUGCCUCUAUUUAUUUUCCAAUUCGCAAUUUUUUCUUUUCUGUUCAGUUGCUUGGCUACGUUGUGUUAGAAAAUUUUUUAUUCCAUCAGUUUUUCAACAUAUGGUUCAACUUAUAUGAUUAUAAAAAGAUGCAAAUUCUUGAGUUUUUUUUUUCCACUGAAGGUUGUCUGGCAGCAAAUGAAAGUUUUAAUCAUUUUAUUGCAGGAUCACUCUAUGAAAUUUCAGUUCGAAUUAUGCAUGUUAUUCAAUAUUUAGGUGGUUUCGUUAAUUGUUAUAGUGACAAUAAAUUCUGUUGAGCUAACCGUGCAGUUUAUUUCUAUCGUAGAAUGGGCGGAAAGAAUACUUAAAUGUGUCACAGUUGCAGAG
RNAcentral lists this long non-coding RNA (1035 nucleotides) under Olea europaea subsp. europaea. The record is from RNAcentral. Lineage: Eukaryota; Viridiplantae; Streptophyta; Magnoliopsida; Lamiales; Oleaceae.